Molecule: non-coding RNA, 75 nt
Organism: Parelaphostrongylus tenuis
Lineage: Eukaryota; Metazoa; Nematoda; Chromadorea; Rhabditida; Metastrongylidae
Source: the annotation of a GenBank genome assembly
UUCCUGGUGGUCCAGUGCUUAAAACUCAGUGCUUUCACUGCUGUGGGCCCAGGAUCAGUCCCCCUGGUCAGAAAA